Molecule: ribosomal RNA, 500 nt
Filed under: uncultured bacterium
Lineage: Bacteria
Description: partial 16S ribosomal RNA
Rfam family: Bacterial small subunit ribosomal RNA
Source: RNAcentral
AUUGAACGCUGGCGGCAUGCCUUACACAUGCAAGUCGAACGGCAGCACGGGAGCAAUCCUGGUGGCGAGUGGCGAACGGGUGAGUAAAGUAUCGGAACGUGCCCAGUCGUGGGGGAUAACGUAGCGAAAGUUACGCUAAUACCGCAUACGAUCUAUGGAGGAAAGCGGGGGAUCGCAAGACCUCGCGCGAUUGGAGCGGCCGAUAUCAGAUUAGGUAGUUGGUGGGGUAAAGGCCCACCAAGCCGACGAUCUGUAGCUGGUCUGAGAGGACGACCAGCCACACUGGGACUGAGACACGGCCCAGACUCCUACGGGAGGCAGCAGUGGGGAAUUUUGGACAAUGGGCGAAAGCCUGAUCCAGCCAUGCCGCGUGCAGGAUGAAGGCCUUCGGGUUGUAAACUGCUUUUGUACGGAACGAAAAGGUUUGGGCUAAUAAGCUGAGCUCAUGACGGUACCGUAAGAAUAAGCACCGGCUAACUACGUGCCAGCAGCCGCCGCGG